ACAGGCCUGAAGCUGAAAAUCCUGAAGAAACUGGAGAAAACAAUGAUGGAAUCAAUCGAACUGUCACUGAAGACGGAUAACCACUCAGUCCCAGAUGUCUCAGAUGAAUUAGAGGCUGUGAAGAAACUCUACGAUAAACUGAAAGGCAGCUCGGCUGAGUAAAUUUCAAACACUGGGUAAAGCUCAGGAAAAUGACUCAUGAUGUUAUUGAUCUUUUUAGGCUGUUGGCUGUAAACUGAUUAUGUCCUCAACAUCGUUUAAACGUGCUUUUAUUAUUUGUGUUCCUCUCUCCAGCAGCUGCUCUGAAAUGUGUAUCUGUUUUAAAGCUGUUGAUUCAAUAAUGUGUGGGUGAUAUCACAGUUUUCUUUUAUUAUAUUUUUUUACAUGUUUUUAAAGUCUCUAUAUAGUCUAUUUUCAAAGAAAAAAUGUGGUUGGGGAGGAUGCAAGUUUCCUGGUUGUAGUCAGUCAGUGACGGUUUCCUUUUCAUCAUGAAGGAAUAAACCACAAAGCCUCAAUCAUAGUCCAAUAAUCCCACUUUUUUAUAUUAGGAUGAUUAUCUUUAUUUAAUUUUAUGUUGAGUAUCUUGGUGUUUAUUCAUUGUGCUUGAGUUACUUUGUUUUAUUAUACAUGUGGAAAUGUAACAAUGGAUUUUGAUUAUAGCACGUAUUUUGUGUUUAGUUUUUAACAUGUAUUUAAGGGGACAAUCACACUGCUGCUAUUUAGUCAGCUUUAAAUGGACCGUGGUUCCACUUCCAUGGAUAGUACAUUUGUUU
This is a long non-coding RNA of Melanotaenia boesemani (Boeseman's rainbowfish), 773 nucleotides long. RefSeq lists it as uncharacterized. The record is from RefSeq and is a predicted model, not a curated record. NCBI's taxonomy places the organism in Eukaryota, Metazoa, Chordata, Actinopteri, Atheriniformes, Melanotaeniidae. The transcript has 3 exons.